This 2297-nucleotide long non-coding RNA is filed under the name Numida meleagris (helmeted guineafowl). RNAcentral describes it as "lncRNA (ENSNMEG00000022921.1)". Lineage: Eukaryota; Metazoa; Chordata; Aves; Galliformes; Numididae. The record is from RNAcentral.
AGAAAAGUUUCCUAAGUAUAGCGUCCCCUCAAAAAUAUGAGGGCUCGAAUUAACCCCCUAAAUCCUUUUUAUCAAAGUCAGCCAAGCCUGGGGAUGGUAAAUUGAUUAUGUGGCCAACCCCAGCAGUGCAGGCUCUUAAAGCAGUUGGAGAAAUUAUGGGAAAGGGCUCAGAGGGAAGUGCAGAAAAAGGACAGAGCUAGCAAAACUACUGACAUGGAAAUCUCCCAGAGCUCAACGUUUGAGCACAGUUCUGCUGAAUCUACAACAUUCGCACCAGAAUUUGGGAAGACUCGGGUCUUAUGGGGAGACUGAUUCAGCUUUGAGAAACAGAAAGAAAAAAAAUGUCAAAAAAUGUAAAUGGAAAGCAAAAUCUACCAGAUUCACUAACAAGUCGGGAUGCCAUCUGCCAAAGUGUCUUCCAGAGUGCUUUUAUUUAUGGCUGACUUUCAAAACUUUGCAAAUGAAGUAGCAUAAUGGAAAUGUUGGCACCACCUUAUCUUUUUCUACACUAAUGCAGAGCCAUAUGAACACACUAGGGAUUCAUGGGUGUAAAACUUUGACCCCGUGGAAGCCCAGCUGGGAAUCAACAAACAUUCUUUUGUCUCAAUUUUUUUCUUAGAACUUCCUUGGGUUUAUUAGUAAUCAACCUCACCAUUAUUUUACCUAUCUGGAAUGAUGUUCAUCCCAAAAUAUACUCAUGACCUGGACACAGUACCCAUUUGUUGUUUUGUUCUAUGAGGAGCAAAAAACGCUAUAGCAGAGGACUUCCACAUCCCAUUUAACAAAUACCAGCUCCUUGAACAGGAAGGUGCAUUAACAAGAAGGUGUAAAAAGUCAUGACAGAGCCAAUGAAGGAAUCUCCAGUGAAAUAUUUUGGAAUGGGUAAGACAUGUAUGUGCAGACAGGGAAAUCACCUUCUGAAAGUGACUUCUCUCCACUCUUUGUAAACAAGCUUGGAAAACUUGCUCAGCCUGCAGUAUCUCCCUCGUAGACAUCUAAGAUUAGGGUAGGAGGAAACACUGAAGAAGUGUGAGAGUUAUACUUUAAUUGUGCUCCGCAAAAUGGGAAAUUAACAACAAUGCCUACUAAGAGCCACAGAAGCAGCCGAAUUAGAUGGAUUAGCUGACAGUUCAUUUCCUCUUUCUCUCUAUGGUGCUUUUAACUUGAAUCAUUCAUACCCAGAAUGUACAAUGCCACUUACAGAAGCACACCAUUCCUUCUUCUGGAAUGGUUCAUGAUGGCUGUUUCACAGCAAACACUAAGGCUAUGCAGAACCUCUGAAGCACAGUGCUGCAAGUAAAGGUCUGUGAUUUUCUGUUUGGUUCAAUGGCUUACUCCUAAGAGGGACAUGAAUGAUUAAUACAAUAACGUAGUUCAUCCCUGCCACAAACAAACAAACAAGCGAAUCCUUUUUCAUGUGACAUUUCUAACAGAGUCAAAGCCUUUGGUGGAAAACCCAUAAAAGAAUCCACAAACUAAAAGAGAAAUCACUACUGUAGGGGGAGUGGUGAGGUGGCAGUGAAAUAGAAACUGGUCAGGAUCUAAGAAUUAAUGAUGCUGACAGUUUAUAACUUUGUAUUUCAGGAAGUGUGUUUCUCCCCAUUUGUCCCCAUUGGCUGCAGUGGCCAUACCCACAGCAUAAGGCUCCAGACCCCGACCGCUUAGACCUUAUCGCUUGCUGACACUUUUUCCUGCAGCAUAUUGGAUUCUUUCUAAGCAUCUGUUUGCACAUAAAGAUGUGUUGAAAAGACUGUGGUUAUUCAUUUACUCACAUUUUGACAUGGCAUUGCUGAGUGGUUAUAUUAGCAAGGCUGAUGAGUUUUCUCUACAAAGGGAAGCCCCAUGGAACGACAUGAAAUAGGCACUGCUACAAUUUUGCUGGAAAGAAAGAGGGGAAAAAUUCAGACCCCAAAAACAAGUCAGCUCAUGGCAUGUCUCCACCCAGCAACAGAAAGGAUGAACAAGUCCUAAUUAAGGCAAUGAGUUCACAGAGCAACAGGCAGUACCAAAGGGCCUAAGAGCAGCAUGUCUGAAUUCAUGCGCCUGAAGGUGUAAAACCAUUUUUCCUUUGGAAUGGAGGCGGCUUGGGCACAGCACUGAAUGGUCACAGGUGGCGUUUCUUCUGUGCUCACACUAGGUAGAGGUGGAGGCUGUGAAACAUGUAGUGACAUGGAGUCCAAGAAAUCUGUCUUCAGCUCCAGGUAACCAAUUUACCAUAUGCAAAAAAAAAACAACUCCACAGUUGUAUACAGAAACUAAAAAAAUAAUAAAAACAAAACAAAACAAAAAAAACUCCA